RNAcentral lists this ribosomal RNA (287 nucleotides) under uncultured bacterium. RNAcentral describes it as "partial 16S ribosomal RNA". It matches the Rfam family "Bacterial small subunit ribosomal RNA", at positions 199 to 504 of the family's 1533-position model. The record is from RNAcentral.
GGUAAAAGGAUUUAUUCGCUCAAGGAUGGACUCGCGUCCAAUUAGCUAGUUGGUGAGGUAACGGCCCACCAAGGCGACGAUUGGUAGCCGGACUGAGAGGUUGAUCGGCCACAUUGGGACUGAGACACGGCCCAGACUCCUACGGGAGGCAGCAGUGGGGGAUAUUGCACAAUGGGGGAAACCCUGAUGCAGCGACGCCGCGUGAAGGAAGAAGGCCUUCGGGUUGUAAACUUCUGUCGUACGGGACGAUAAUGACGGUACCGUACAAGAAAGCCACGGCUAACUAC